This 406-nucleotide ribosomal RNA is filed under the name uncultured bacterium. RNAcentral's name for it is "partial 16S ribosomal RNA". It matches the Rfam family "Bacterial small subunit ribosomal RNA", at positions 30 to 526 of the family's 1533-position model. The record is from RNAcentral.
AUUGAACGCUGGCGGCAGGCCUCACACAUGCAAGUCGAACGAGUGGCGGACGGGUGAGUAAUGUCUGGGAAACUGCCCGAUGGAGGGGGAUAACUACUGGAAACGGUAGCUAAUCCCGCAUACCCUCGGAUGUGCCCAGAUGGGAUUAGCUAGGAGGUGGGUGAACGGCUCACCUAGGCGACGAUCCCUAGCUGGUCUGAGAGGAUGACCAUCAACACUGGAAAUGAGACACGGGCCAGACGCCGACGGUAGGCAGCAGUGGGGAAUAUUGCACAAUGGGCGCAAGCCUGAUGCAGCCAGGCCGCGUGUAUGAAGAAGGCCUUCGGGUUGUAAAGUACUUUCAGCGAGGAGGCGUUACUCUUAGAAGAAGCACCGGCGAACUCCGUGCCAGCAGCGGCGGUAAUAC